RNAcentral lists this non-coding RNA (22 nucleotides) under Arabidopsis thaliana (thale cress). Lineage: Eukaryota; Viridiplantae; Streptophyta; Magnoliopsida; Brassicales; Brassicaceae. The record is from RNAcentral.
CAUCCUUGCCCUACUUGUGGUU